GCCGGCUUAGCUCAGUUGGUAGAGCAUCUGAUUUGUAAUCAGAGGGUCGCGUGUUCAAGUCCCUUAACCCGCA
Molecule: transfer RNA, 73 nt
Filed under: Streptococcus pneumoniae
Lineage: Bacteria; Bacillati; Bacillota; Bacilli; Lactobacillales; Streptococcaceae
Description: tRNA-Thr(tgt)
Rfam family: tRNA
About the family: Transfer RNA (tRNA) molecules are approximately 80 nucleotides in length. Their secondary structure includes four short double-helical elements and three loops (D, anti-codon, and T loops).
Source: RNAcentral